This is a non-coding RNA of Hippopotamus amphibius kiboko, 74 nucleotides long. NCBI's taxonomy places the organism in Eukaryota, Metazoa, Chordata, Mammalia, Artiodactyla, Hippopotamidae. The record is from the annotation of a RefSeq genome assembly.
UCCCUUGGUGGUCCAACAGUUAGGACUCUGCACUUUGACUGCCGUGGCCCCAGGUUCAAUCCCUGGUCAGGGAA